RNAcentral lists this ribosomal RNA (484 nucleotides) under uncultured bacterium. RNAcentral describes it as "partial 16S ribosomal RNA". It matches the Rfam family "Bacterial small subunit ribosomal RNA", at positions 30 to 507 of the family's 1533-position model. The record is from RNAcentral.
AUUGAACGCUGGCGGAAUGCUUUACACAUGCAAGUCGAACGGCAGCACGGGGGCAACCCUGGUGGCGAGUGGCGAACGGGUGAGUAAUACAUCGGAACGUGCCCGGUCGUGGGGGAUAACGUAGCGAAAGUUACGCUAAUACCGCAUACGAUCUGAGGAUGAAAGCGGGGGACCUUCGGGCCUCCCGCGAUCGGAGCGGCCGAUGUCAGAUUAGGUAGUUGGUGGGGUAAAGGCCUACCAAGCCGACGAUCUGUAGCUGGUCUGAGAGGACGACCAGCCACACUGGGACUGAGACACGGCCCAGACUCCUACGGGAGGCAGCAGUGGGGAAUUUUGGACAAUGGGCGCAAGCCUGAUCCAGCCAUUCCGCGUGCAGGACGAAGGCCUUCGGGUUGUAAACUGCUUUUGUAUGGAACGAAAAGGCUCUGGCUAAUACCUGGGGCUCAUGACGGUACCGUAAGAAUAAGCACCGGCUAACUACGUG